CAGCAUAAAAAUCGUGAGAUAUUUAUCGUGAUGGAUUUAAAGGUGAAAGGGAUGGGUGACCGGCUACAAGUACUCCACUCAGCCUUGCUAUCUUUCCCCAUUCUGCUUCCUCUUUCUAUUGCGAGAGAUAUUUUCUGCUCAACCCCACGAGACGGCGAAGUUUCAAGCCCGAAGCAAGAAGAGGUUCCGCCCUUACUUCCCUGUUCAAUUCUUCGUUAUAACUUUCUGUUGGAAAUCUCUCGUCUUUCUACUGAAAUCUACGAAGAUACUCCUAUUUGCAGAAGGGCGGUGUGCUGCAGCAUUCGUGUUGUUUUCUUUCUUAGAUGCGAUGGUGCCAUGGAGAAUGGAGGCUCGUGUGGCGGAGACAGUGUUUGUGAUGCUCUGCGGCUGGCUCUCCUCCUGCCUCGCCGUUGCCGGCGACGUCGCCCACGCCCUCAGAACCAAUGACCUCUCAAUCUAGGCCACCUUUGACACCAACGGCGACAAGGAACCAACUCUGCUUCUACAGACUGGCCACUUCUAGAUUGCAGACAAAGAGUUCUUCCGUAAGACAAGUUCGAUGUAAAGGAGAAAUCUUCAUAUAGAAUAGAUGUGAAAUCUUGUCACAAAGAAAGAGAUGGCUACUGCUCGAAGUGACCUGACUUUCUAGCACUACAAAGCUCGUCGACGGAACUACACAGAGAAAUAUCCGAUAAAAAAAACCUUGAGAAGGUGCAGCGGUGUAUAUACGGAUUCUAACUCAUGAGAGGUUCCAAACCAUCUGGACUUCGAUGUUAU
RNAcentral lists this long non-coding RNA (777 nucleotides) under Brachypodium distachyon (stiff brome). RNAcentral describes it as "long non-coding RNA (BDIS_LNC000270)". Lineage: Eukaryota; Viridiplantae; Streptophyta; Magnoliopsida; Poales; Poaceae. The record is from RNAcentral.